AACGAACGCCGGCGGCAUGCCUAACACAUGCAAGUCGAACGAGACCUUCGGGUCUAGUGGCGCACGGGUGCGUAACGCGUGGGAACCUGCCCUUAGGUUCGGAAUAACUCCCCGAAAGGGGUGCUAAUACCGGAUAAUGUCUUCGGACCAAAGAUUUAUCGCCUUUGGAUGGGCCCGCGUUGGAUUAGCUAGUUGGUAGGGUAAAAGCCUACCAAGGCGACGAUCCAUAGCUGGUCUGAGAGGAUGAUCAGCCACACUGGGACUGAGACACGGCCCAGACUCCUACGGGAGGCAACAGUGGGGAAUAUUGGACAAUGGGCGAAAGCCUGAUCCAGCAAUGCCGCGUGAGUGAUGAAGGCCUUAGGGUUGUAAAGCUCUUUUACCCGGGAUGAUAAUGACAGUACCGGGAGAAUAAGCUCCGGCUAACUCCGUG
Molecule: ribosomal RNA, 433 nt
Filed under: uncultured bacterium
Lineage: Bacteria
Description: partial 16S ribosomal RNA
Rfam family: Bacterial small subunit ribosomal RNA
Source: RNAcentral